Molecule: unclassified non-coding RNA, 323 nt
Filed under: soil metagenome
Description: partial contains 5.8S ribosomal RNA, internal transcribed spacer 2, and large subunit ribosomal RNA
Rfam family: 5.8S ribosomal RNA (bases 1-120)
Source: RNAcentral
GAUGAAGAACGUAGCGAAAUGCGAUACGUAAUGUGAAUUGCAGAAUUCAGUGAAUCAUCGAGUCUUUGAACGCACAUUGCGCCCCCUGGUAUUCCGGGGGGCAUGCCUGUUCGAGCGUCAUUUCAACCCUCAAGCUCUGCUUGGUGUUGGGCCCUGCCCGCUGCGGCCGGCCCUAAAGACAGUGGCGGUGCCGCCUGGCCCUGAGCGUAGUACAUCUCUCGCUCCAGUGCCCGGUGGUAGCCUGCCAGAACCCCAACUCUCGUGGUUGACCUCGGAUCAGGUAGGGAUACCCGCUGAACUUAAGCAUAUCAAUAAGCGGAGGA